This 414-nucleotide long non-coding RNA is filed under the name Ananas comosus (pineapple). RNAcentral's name for it is "long non-coding RNA (ACOM_LNC017745)". The record is from RNAcentral. Lineage: Eukaryota; Viridiplantae; Streptophyta; Magnoliopsida; Poales; Bromeliaceae.
UAAAUUAUAGAAAACUUCUCUGUAAAUAUCCGAUUUUCACCAUCUCUUCCUUAACUCUCAAAUAUCUAUAUUUUUUCAUCUUAAAAUUUUAAAAAUAUUAAUUUUAAUGGGAAUACGAUGUUAAUAAAAAUGGCAAAAUGACCAAAUUACCCUCACUUUUUUUUAUAAGAAAAACUAAUUUUUUAAUAUACUUUUGUUAUUUUAAAGAGCAUUUUCGGUAUAAAUUAUAAAAAAUGAACGGAAUAAUGAAAGAACCCCGAUGGAGGGAGGCUAAAUAUAAAAACUUGGAAUAUUGAGGAGAUAAAAUAUAGAUUUUUGAAAAUUAAAUAGGAAAAGUGAAAAAAAGUAUUUACAUGAGGAUUUUCUAUAAUUUAGCCUUUAAAAAAAAUACUUCUUAGAAUCAAAGGCUAAGAU